UUUCCGUAGGUGAACCUGCGGAAGGAUCAUUAACGAGUUAGGGUCUUUUAGGCCCGACCUCCCAACCCUAUGAUUAUUGAACCUCUGUUGCUUCGGCGGACCCGCCUCACGGCCGCCGGGGGACCGCUGCGAGGCGUCCUCUGGCCAGCGUCCGCCGAUGGCCAACCCACUAAACUCUGAAUGAAUCGUGUCAUAUGUCUUAGUCUAUGAUUAAAUUAAAGCAAAACUUUCAACAACGGAUCUCUUGGUUCUG
This 253-nucleotide unclassified non-coding RNA is filed under the name plant metagenome. Its description in RNAcentral is "partial contains small subunit ribosomal RNA, internal transcribed spacer 1, and 5.8S ribosomal RNA". The record is from RNAcentral.